GAUGAACGCUGGCGGCGUGCUUAACACAUGCAAGUCAAACGAUGAAGCCCAGCUUGCUGGGUGGAUUAGUGGCGAACGGGUGAGUAACACGUGAGUAACCUGCCCUUAACUCUGGGAUAAGCCUGGGAAACUGGGUCUAAUACCGGAUAGGAGCGUCCACCGCAUGGUGGGUGUUGGAAAGAUUUAUCGGUUUUGGAUGGACUCGCGGCCUAUCAGCUUGUUGGUGAGGUAAUGGCUCACCAAGGCGACGACGGGUAGCCGGCCUGAGAGGGUGACCGGCCACACUGGGACUGAGACACGGCCCAGACUCCUACGGGAGGCAGCAGUGGGGAAUAUUGCACAAUGGGCGCAAGCCUGAUGCAGCGACGCCGCGUGAGGGAUGACGGCCUUCGGGUUGUAAACCUCUUUCAGUAGGGAAGAAGCGAAAGUGGCGGUACCUGCAGAAGAAGCACCGGCUAACUACGUG
RNAcentral lists this ribosomal RNA (466 nucleotides) under uncultured bacterium. RNAcentral's name for it is "partial 16S ribosomal RNA". It matches the Rfam family "Bacterial small subunit ribosomal RNA", at positions 28 to 507 of the family's 1533-position model. The record is from RNAcentral.